This 223-nucleotide ribosomal RNA is filed under the name uncultured fungus. Its description in RNAcentral is "partial small subunit ribosomal RNA". The stretch from base 102 to 223 matches the Rfam family "Eukaryotic small subunit ribosomal RNA", at positions 741 to 864 of the family's 1831-position model. The record is from RNAcentral. Lineage: Eukaryota; Fungi.
GGUUCGACAUGCCUGGCCCGCCGGCGUCAGCUGGUGAGUGCCGGAGCGUGUCUGCCAUCCUUCUAGAAAACGGCCUUGCCCUUCACUGGGUUGAGGUCGCGAUCUAGAUCUUUUACUUUGAAAAAAUUAGAGUGUUUAAAGCAGGCUUACGCUAUGAAUACAUUAGCAUGGAAUAAUAAUUUAGGACUUCGUCUCUAUUUUGUUGGUUUCUAGAGCUGAAGUA